UGCCUUACACAUGCAAGUCGAACGGCAGCACGGGUGCUUGCACCUGGUGGCGAGUGGCGAACGGGUGAGUAAUACAUCGGAACAUGUCCUGUAGUGGGGGAUAGCCCGGCGAAAGCCGGAUUAAUACCGCAUACGAUCUACGGAUGAAAGCGGGGGACCUUCGGGCCUCGCGCUAUAGGGUUGGCCGAUGGCUGAUUAGCUAGUUGGUGGGGUAAAGGCCUACCAAGGCGACGAUCAGUAGCUGGUCUGAGAGGACGACCAGCCACACUGGGACUGAGACACGGCCCAGACUCCUACGGGAGGCAGCAGUGGGGAAUUUUGGACAAUGGGCGAAAGCCUGAUCCAGCAAUGCCGCGUGUGUGAAGAAGGCCUUCGGGUUGUAAAGCACUUUUGUCCGGAAAGAAAUCCUUGGUUCUAAUAUAGCCGGGGGAUGACGGUACCGGAAGAAUAAGCACCGGCUAACUACGUGCCAGCAGCCGCGGUAAUACGUAGGGUGCGAGCGUUAAUCGGAAUUACUGGGCGUAAAGCGUGCGCAGGCGGUUUGCUAAGACCGAUGUGAAAUCCCCGGGCUCAACCUGGGAACUGCAUUGGUGACUGGCAGGCUAGAGUAUGGCAGAGGGGGGUAGAAUUCCACGUGUAGCAGUGAAAUGCGUAGAGAUGUGGAGGAAUACCGAUGGCGAAGGCA
RNAcentral lists this ribosomal RNA (685 nucleotides) under uncultured beta proteobacterium. RNAcentral's name for it is "bacterial SSU rRNA". It matches the Rfam family "Bacterial small subunit ribosomal RNA", at positions 45 to 723 of the family's 1533-position model. The record is from RNAcentral. Lineage: Bacteria; Pseudomonadati; Pseudomonadota; Betaproteobacteria.